GGGCGAAAUUCUGUUGCAGCGACGCCGUUGAGGGAUGACGGCCUUCGGGUUGUAAACCUCUUUCAGCAGGGAAGAAGCUAAAGUGACGGUACCUGCAGAAGAAGCGCCGGUUAACUACGUGCCAACAGCCGGGGUAAUACGUAGGGCGCAAGCGUUUCCGGAAUUAUUGGGCGUAAAAAGCUCGUAGGCGGCUUGUAACGUCCGAUGUUAAAGCCCUUGGCUUAACCCCGGGUCUGCAUUCGAUACGGGCAGGCUAGAGUUCGGUAGGGGAGAUCGGAAUUCAUGGUGUAGCGGUGAAAUGCGCAGAUAUCAGGAAGUAACACCGGUCGGCAAAGGCCCAUCUGUGGGCCGAUACUGACCCUGAGGAAUCGAAAGCGUGGGGGAGCAAACACGAUUAGAUACCCUGGUAGUCCACGCCGUAAACAAUUGGGAACUAUGGCGGGGGGGGACAUCGCCAUGAUCGUCCGUGCCGCCUUUAACUAACGCCAUCAAGUUCCCCGCUCUUGGGGACUACGGCCGCAUUAGGCUAAAACUCAAAGGAAUUGACGGGGGCCCGCACAAGCGGCGGAGCAUGUGGCUUAAUUCGACGCAACGCGAAGAACCUUACCAAGGCUUUACAUACACCGGAACACCCAGAGAUGGGUGCCCCCUUGUGGUCGGUGUACAGGUGGU
This 672-nucleotide ribosomal RNA is filed under the name bacterium. RNAcentral describes it as "bacterial SSU rRNA". It matches the Rfam family "Bacterial small subunit ribosomal RNA", at positions 373 to 1042 of the family's 1533-position model. The record is from RNAcentral.